Molecule: ribosomal RNA, 440 nt
Filed under: uncultured bacterium
Lineage: Bacteria
Description: partial 16S ribosomal RNA
Rfam family: Bacterial small subunit ribosomal RNA
Source: RNAcentral
CCUACGUGUGGCAGCAGUAGGGAAUAUUGCUCAAUGGGGGAAACCCUGAUGCAGCAACGCCGCGUGGAGGAUGAAGGUUUUCGGAUUGUAAACUCCUUUUGUUAGAGAAGAUAAUGACGGUAUCUAACGAAUAAGCACCGGCUAACUCCGUGCCAGCAGCCGCGGUAAUACGGAGGGUGCAAGCGUUACUCGGAAUCACUGGGCGUAAAGGGCGCGUAGGCGGGGUAGCAAGUCAGAUGUGAAAGCCUAGGGCUUAACCAUAGAACUGCAUUUGAAACUGUUAUUCUAGAGUAUGGGAGAGGGAGGUGGAAUUCUUGGUGUAGGGGUAAAAUCCGUAGAGAUCAAGAGGAAUACUCAUGGCGAAGGCGAGCUGCUAGAACAUAACUGACGCUGAGGCGCGAAAGCGUGGGGAGCAAACGGGAUUAGAUACCCGGGUAGUC